CUCUCUUUCUCCUGUUCCAGCAAUGUAAGAGGAGCUGGCUUCACCUUCACCUUCGCCAUGAUUGAAGGUUUCCUGAGGCCUCCCCAGAAGCUGAACAGAGGCCAGUAUCAUGCUUCCUGUACAGCCUGCAGAACUGCCAAUGAUUGGAUUGCAAAUGGUCAUGACUGAAUUCUGAACAUAAGAGGAAAAGUUUUCUGAGCAGUUUUGGGGAAAGUUAUCUCUCCCCUAAGCAAGAGACACAAGAAGAAACCACCCAUCUUCUAACUCUGAGCACUGUCCUCGAUGUGGCCCCUGGAGCUGCUGCCCUCAUCUUAUGCCACACCUGAGAAUGAAAUCAACACUGAGAAGCGCAUUUUGGAGAUAUGGGAAAGCCCGUGCUUGAUGACAACACUGACCUAUUGAAUCAGUCAACCUAGAGCCUCAGCUUCUAUGCUACCACAUCCACUGGAGUUAGAUGGGGAAGCAGGUUCCUCAUCAGAAUUGCUCAGGAACUCAGACUGACAGAACAGCCACCAUUCUGACCAUUGCCUGUCACUAUGCUAGAGGCCAGACUUGGUGAUUCACUUUUAAAGAAUAGAAGAUGAGGAGCAAUGCUAUGUGACUUUCAAGGCUAGGUCAUAUAAAGAAUGGGUUCUGUCUGGCACUCUCUCUUGGACUACACAUUCUGGAGAAAACAGCAGCCACAUCAUGAGGACACUCAAGCAGUCCUGGGAGAGGUCCAUGUGGAGAGGAAUGAGGUCUUCUGACAACAGCCAGCACUAACUUACCAUCCAUGUGAGUGAGUGACCUUGGAGGUGGAUCCUCCUGCCCCAGAUAAGCCUUCAAAUGACUGCAGCCCCAGCUGACAUCUCAAGUGCAACAACUUGAGAGACCUCCAGGGAGAUAUACCCAGUCAAGCCACUCAUGAAAUAUUAAUCCACGUAUACUCAGAGGCAUAAUAAAUAUUUAUUGUUGUCUUAAGCCACUAUGCUUGGGCAGUUUGUUACACAGAAAUAUAUAACUGAUACAAUUUCUCUCCAAGAGACUGUCCUUAAUCCUGCACCUUUGUUUGCCUUCUUCCUUUCCUAAUCAUGCUUUCCCCUUUAUCCCCCUAUGGACUUUCCCUAGGAACACUUCCUAAUAAAUCCCUUUCACAAGAA
RNAcentral lists this long non-coding RNA (1139 nucleotides) under Homo sapiens (human). RNAcentral describes it as "non-protein coding lnc-NT5E-10:4". Lineage: Eukaryota; Metazoa; Chordata; Mammalia; Primates; Hominidae. The record is from RNAcentral.